This is a long non-coding RNA of Ursus maritimus (polar bear), 2826 nucleotides long. The record is from Ensembl. NCBI's taxonomy places the organism in Eukaryota, Metazoa, Chordata, Mammalia, Carnivora, Ursidae.
GCCAGCCGGACCGCCACCAGCGAGAGUGAGGCCGCAACCGUCACGUGACCUCCCCCCUGUCUCCCAGGCGUUUCCCUCCGCCCCGCGCUAGCGAGGAGCGCGGCCAAUGAGAAAGGCACAUACCUGGCCCCCGCCGGCCCGCAGUCCUGCCGGAGUGCGCCUGCGCGCGGCGGGGGUGGCCGGGCGGGGCUCCAGCCUGGAAGGUGCGUGCUGGGCUGGGUCCGGGAGUGGGAGACGUGGAGUGCAGAAUCAGGGGUACAGAGAGAUGAGGCAGGUUCCAGCACACCUCAGUCAAACCUCAGCAACCCUGAAUGCUUGGGUAGAGAGGUAAGUAUCUUAUCCACUCAGCUUGCCUUAGCGAGGCAGUGUGGGACAGUGGUUAGCAAUGUGUGCCUGAGAGCUGGAACUCUGGUUCCAGUCUUGGUGCUAGCACUUAGUACUUAAGUAGUUGCAUGGCCUUGAGAGGUGGCUUCACAUCCCUGUGCCUCAGUUGCUGCAUCUGCAAUAUGGGAAUAAAAACACAAGUUAUUCAUUCAACAAAUAUUUACUAAGUAUGUUCUACAUGCCCAACACUGUGCUAGGCAUGGGGGACACAGCAAUGAACAAAACAGACAGAGAUCCCUGGCUUCAUGGAGUUUACAUUCUAGCAGGGGUAAGAAACAACAAGCGAACAGCAGCAGCAGGUCCUGAACGUCUACCAAGGAUGGAUUGGCAAGAGCAGCCUGGUUGGAAGGAGAGCCAGAGUUGUCUUCUUAAAGCUGCACUCACAUAUCCUUUAUAUUUGGAGAAAGCUUCCAACGUCCCUCUCAAAGACUUGGAGGGAGAGGAGGAGGAGACAUUGGGAGUGUUCAUGAGAAGCCAAUGCCACCUCUGGGUUCAGGUGCUAUUGGGGGCAGGGCGGGGAGGGAUGGCGGGCAGCCACACAGAUCUACAGGAGAGGCAGCUGUCUACACCUGGGACCCCGAGGCAGUUUGGGAUCAGAUCCUGGCUCCACCAUUUCCUGGCUGUGUCCUUUUGUGCCCAUGACUUGACCUCUCUGGGUCUUUAGUUUCUUUAUCUGUUAUACAGGGCUAAGAAAGAGACUGGUGUGAGAAAUUAAAUACAUAAGGUGCUUCCAGCAGCACUUGGCUCAGUAAGCAAGGAGCUCUGCCCUCUUCAGGGGAGAGGGCGGGGCAAGGAAAAGACAUUCUGCCUUAUUUUCUGUUCAUGAGUUGGUUCAACAUCGUAGUGUCCCGGAACAGAACUGAGCUCUGGGCGCAAAUUCCAUACCGACAAACUGAUACCGUACAACCUGAGCAGAGAUGUCCCCGACCCCUACUGCCUCACCUGAAAAACGGGGCUGACAAUGCUUUGCCCCCAGAUAUGCAGCGGCAUGGUGUUAUUUUCAAGCUGAGACAUCAACCAUUUUCCAUCGUGACGCCACUCUGCCCCUCCCCUGCUUUAUUUUUCCUCAAGGCACAUACUGUAUGUUUCACUCCUCUAUCGUCUCCCCCAAAAGAGUGUCAUCUUUACUAGGAUUUUUGGUUUGGUUUUUUUUUUCUGUUUUGUGCUGUAUUCCCAGGUUCUACACAGGCCUUACCAGCAAGUAGUCACUGAACAAAUACUAGUUGAAUGAACAGAUGAAUGAAUGGGGCGCUGCUGUGUACAGUCCCUGUGCUGUGUGGUACUGGGCACACAGCAGUGACUGAGACAGCCCCGCGCUGCCCACAUGGGUUUCACAGGCCAGUGGGGCAGACUCCUCACCAGGUAGUGCCAGCCCUCCGGAGGGCUGAGAUUGGGGAAGCAUAGGCAGAAGGGUCGGGGCUGGGAUGGAAAAGCCCAGGGACUGCUGGAACCCAAAAGGGGGAAUCUGGACCAGCCCAGGAGUCAGGAAGGGCUUCCUGGGGGAGGGGGCACAGGAGCUGAUAGGAAUGAGUGACAUGAAGAGAAGAGAAAGGUGUGCUGGGCAGGAGCAGCAGCUGUGGGAGUGUUUGGUGGUAAAGGUGUGGUUUCAGUUCAAGGAACUGAAAGAUAUUAAAUAUGGACGGGAUAUAAAGGGUGGUGAGACAGUAAGCAAAAGAGGUUAUUAAGGGGAGAUCCUUCAGAGCUCUGGGAACCACAGUGAGGAGCCGAGACUUUGUCCUGAGGACCCCAGGGGCUGGCGGGGGGCAUAGAGACGUUUUUGAGCAGGAGAGGGAUGAGUUUGACUCAGAUGGAGGGGGGACUAGGAGGGCUGGGUGGAGGUUGGGAGCCAAGGGAGGUGACAGGAGUGGGGACCCAGGUGGGAGAGGGCAGGUUGAGGCCGUGGAAGGGAGAAAAAAAGAAGUGUGUGGGAGAGACCCUCAGGAGGUCAAGUGGACAAGUUGUGGAGGGUCCAGGGUGAGGCCCAGGGCUUUGGGGCAAUCAGGGAGGGUUUUCUGGAGAAGGUGGCACACAGACUGAGACCUGUGGGAUGGAUAAGACAGCUGACCUUGGGAACCCCUGGGGAGAAGCUUCUAGAAGGCCAUGGGACUUCCAAAGCUGAAGUUCAGGGAAGAGGUGAGAGCUGGAGACAGCUUUGGGCCCUAGAGGAUAUAGUGAGAAGUUUGCCCUUUGCUCUGAGGGCAGUGGGGAGCCACAGAGGGGUUUUGAGCAGGGAUGAAACAGCUUAAAUUUUUUAGUUCCAACUCCGAAAUAUUCACCAGUCACGAUGUGGUUUUUUGUUGUUUUGUUGGUUUUUUGUUUUUGGUGGGGUUUUUUGUUGUUGUUUUUACCCAUAUAAUUGUUUUUCAGACCAAGCAUCUUCUCUCUCUAGGAAGGGCAUCUUCUAGGGGUCCUUUGAAAUAAAGGUUCUACCGCUAAAAACCA